GAAAACCUAAAAGGUCAGUUGUGCGCCAUGGACGGCGCCUCGCGGACCUCCAUCGCGCUGUCUGCUCCUACAGUCCUCAGAGACGCCGAAAAUGCCCCGGGUGCGAGUCGCCUCUUCUCUGCGCGCAGCAUCUGGAAAAUGUGCGCCUACGUGAGAAACAGUCUGUGAACGCCGUUCGAGAAUGCUGAACUUACUCUCAUGUGAUCUCGAGUGACGGUAUCGAGGGAGACUGUAACAGUGUUGUUAGUGAUUCCUGAACAAUACGAGUACUGUCUUGCUGGUGGUUCGGACAGAAGCGGUCACAGUCGUGCACCGUUUUGCUGAAAUACCUUUGGGACUGCACAACUGAGGUGCCUGACAUGAGGGAGAGGGCCUUCCUCGUGGGAGUCUCUCUGGCGGCCGUUAUCUGCAUGACAGCCGUACACGCACAGACAGAGACAGAGCGCCCGGCGCCGAGGGAGCCGACGGCCUUCACCGCCUGCUC
Schistocerca gregaria is the source of this 484-nucleotide long non-coding RNA. RefSeq lists it as uncharacterized. NCBI's taxonomy places the organism in Eukaryota, Metazoa, Arthropoda, Insecta, Orthoptera, Acrididae. The transcript is spliced from 3 exons. The record is from RefSeq and is a predicted model, not a curated record.